Eurytemora carolleeae is the source of this 530-nucleotide long non-coding RNA. RefSeq lists it as uncharacterized. Lineage: Eukaryota; Metazoa; Arthropoda; Copepoda; Calanoida; Temoridae. The transcript is spliced from 4 exons. The record is from RefSeq and is a predicted model, not a curated record.
UUCAGAUCAGCUGUGACAAGGAGAUGUAAACUUCGAAAAUACAAACUUUAUGUCCAGCAACAAUUGAUGUACUGCCCAGUAUACGAGCUGCUGUUGGACCAGACAUAGAGAUUAUACUGGAUGGAGGAGUACAACGAGGCACGGAUAUAGCUAAGGGACUUGCUCUGGGUGCAGAUGGUGUAGGUAUUGGUAAACCUUAUCUAUAUGGACUGGCUGCUGGAGGAACAGAAGGCGUGAAUAAAGUUAUGAACAUUUUAAGGAUUGAGUUGGAUCGUGCAAUGGGACUGCUCGGCGCUGGAAGUGUCGCGGAGCUAAAAAAGCGUGGCUCAGAGCUAAUCAAACAAAGAGAAGGCUCGGGCAGAGACUGUAGUGGGGCUCGCGGUAGCAAAGCUGGAAUCAUUUAAAUUUUAUUUUUUUGUUAAAUUUGCAUUUCAUUAAGAGGGAAAACAAAGUUAUGCAUAAUAUUCAUUUAAAUUUCAACAAAAAUUGUAAGAAUAAAUUUAUUUUAAAAAUAAAUUAGCAAACACUAA